CUCUGGGUCAAAUUACCCUGUCUGCUGAGAAGCACAACAGGCUAGAAAGAAACACAGAUGCUGGACAAAUGUUUCUGGCUGGAGACUGCCUAGUGCUGAAACCUCUGGAUACCCUCUCCCAAAACACUGCCUUCUCCUCCUGUCUGAGGGAACUGGGGCUCGGCGCUGCAGAUUUGGCCUCACUCUGAUCCUGUCCUAGCUGGAGGAGAGUUGGAUGGGCUCAUUAACUGCAUGUGCCUGCAAAGCAGAACGUCCUCAAGCCCAGGGUCCUGCAAAUGACUGAGCCAUUGAGGAGGAAACAUGCUUCGCACAGAUAUGCCAAGCUAUUGAUGCCUGCCAGACUGGAUACUGCACAUUACAUAUUGCAAGAAUAUUCAGAUAACACCUAUAACUCCACAAAAGCAUUGGUGCUUUAUUCUACUGCAGAGGCAGAAAAUGACAGAGACAUCCACCUCCCACGCUCUUCAUUUUCUGGGACUUCACUGAACCUGGAGCAAAGACUGUGAAGAGGAGAAAGACACAGUAACAGUACCUACAGGUGCACACUUAGGUUAUUCACUGUGGCCUGUACACUUAGAGGUGGCCACCAGAAUAACCACUCCCAGAGGAUGAUGAUUUGUAGGUAUAGAGGAAAAAGGCAGGUUUUUAAGGAGGAGUCUAAAGGGAUAAAAAUCAGUAACUGCUUGAGAGAUGCUACUUUAUUUAGUAAAGGGUGGCCUCAAUAAUCCAAGAAGAAGCUUUAACCUACCUUGCUUGAAUUCCUUCUGGCCAUUUGACAGUAGUGAGAUUUUAUUAAACCUACUGUGAGUUUGAGCCUUCUGAUUUUUUUUCUUUGAACAGCCUUUCUUCCUACUAAAGGUUGUUUUCUCACUUGUCCCUAGCAGAUACUCAUUACCUGCCACUCUCCUGUAGAGCUAUAAUUUUGCCAGAGUUGUGAUUAAUGAUGUUUCCACUUUAAUUAAAUACAGGGUUUCCAGUUUUUUGUAGAUUUUUCAGAACUCUUAACUGCAUUUAGUUUUUAGUGGAAUGUUCCAGUUCUGAACUGGAACUGGAAUAUAUGCAUGUCUAUGUUUUACUUAUUCAUAUGAGUACUUAUGGAUUUAAAUACAAAUAUGAACCAAAAUCUCUCACUGAUUGGUUUCAGGAAGGUGAAAGAACAAAGAAUGACUGUGUGACGGAAGGUGAAACCUGAAGUGUUCAAAGUCCUUCCUUUACUUGAUUUAAGAUGAAGUUUAGAAAAUCAGUCUUCAAAAUCCACAGAGAAGACCUAAAAUUUAGACUGAAAUAAUGCCUAAUAAUUCUUUUUCUGCAAUACAAGAGUUGGAUGGAGACAUAAACAAGAAGAACUAGUAGCCAAGUAAUGUGGAAAAGUUGCUGGAUUUUUGCACAGAAACCAUAAUGUAAAGUGGUAUGUAGGUCUGCCACAGUCCUGGGAAGUGCCCUCAUUAAAAGCUUUUUUAUGGUAUGCUGCAGAACUUGCUUUUCAUAUGAAACACUUGGAGAAUCUGGCUUAUGACCCAAAACAAAAUGAGAAAAAAAUAUUAAAUAUCCAAAAAUUAUGUAAUGUGGGAGAAUCACACCCUGCACACCUUUAACUAGGAGAAUUGAAGGAUUUUUGACACAUGUGAAUCUAUGCUCAAGAAUGGACAUCUACCCAUUGGAAAACACUGAUCUUUUUAAAAAUUUGAUUUUUGCCUUGAAGCCUAUGCAGAAGCCCAGAAACAGAACUGUCUGAAGGUCACUCGAAAUUGUAUCAACAAGUGACAAAGUCUGUGGCAGUGAAAUGUUGAUUUUGUGGAAGAUAACUGCAGACAUCAGUGCCUAAAUUUCUUAGUGUGUUGUACAUGAAAAGAGCAAAAUUCGUUUGCAUAGUCAAAAUAAGUUUAUGUACCAAUGUUGGGAAUGUGAAUGAGUUGGAAAUAGAUCUACUGAUGUUGUGAUACUAACAUGAAGCUUCCAAGGGCUGAUUUUCAGUACACAUGCAGUGAAAAUAAACUUAUAUUUGAGGGUUAAGGAAGUCAAUAAAGUUAAGGUUAAUAAAACUUGUUGGUAACAAGACUAUGCAAAAUGAAAUUGCAGGAAACAUUGGAAUGCUUUUAAUAAAUUGUAACAUUUUGGAUUUAGACCUCAAUGAAAUGCCUCUCUGAAUUUCACAGAAAUUUGUAAAAAUAGCAGAAGCAAAAUAAAUUCUUAGAAGUGUAAAAUAAAAUAAAGAAUUUAAACCACCUGAAACAGGUUGCUGAACUGACUAAAUCACCAUUCUUGGAUGAUGUCACCAAAGCAGAUGAACCCAGAUCUAUAAUAAACUUCAUAUCAAUAAUA
This is a long non-coding RNA of Haemorhous mexicanus (house finch), 2322 nucleotides long. RefSeq lists it as uncharacterized. Lineage: Eukaryota; Metazoa; Chordata; Aves; Passeriformes; Fringillidae. The record is from RefSeq and is a predicted model, not a curated record. The transcript is spliced from 3 exons.